RNAcentral lists this ribosomal RNA (466 nucleotides) under uncultured bacterium. RNAcentral describes it as "partial 16S ribosomal RNA". It matches the Rfam family "Bacterial small subunit ribosomal RNA", at positions 28 to 507 of the family's 1533-position model. The record is from RNAcentral.
GAUGAACGCUGGCGGCGUGCUUAACACAUGCAAGCCGAACGAUGAAGCCCAGCUUGCUGGGUGGAUUAGUGGCGAACGGGUGAGUAACACGUGAGUAACCUGCCCUUAACUCUGGGAUAAGCCUGGGAAACUGGGUCUAAUACCGGAUAGGAGCGUCCACCGCAUGGUGGGUGUUGGAAAGAUUUAUCGGUUUUGGAUGGACUCGCGGCCUAUCAGCUUGUUGGUGAGUUAAUGGCUCACCAAGGCGACGACGGGUAGCCGGCCUGAGAGGGUGAUCGGCCACACUGGGACUGAGACACGGCCCAGACUCCUACGGGAGGCAGCAGUGGGGAAUAUUGCACAAUGGGCGAAAGCCUGAUGCAGCGACGCCGCGUGAGGGAUGACGGCUUUCGGGUUGUAAACCUCUUUCAGUAGGGAAGAAGCGAAAGUGACGGUACCUGCAGAAGAAGCACCGGCUAACUACGUG